CAGUCGCCGCGGGAAUACGAAGGGUGCAAGCGUUAAUCGGAAUUACUGGGCGUAAAGCGUGCGUAGGCGGUGAGUUAAGUCUGCUGUGAAAUCCCCGGGCUCAACCUGGGAAUGGCAGUGGAUACUGGCUCGCUAGAGUGUGUCAGAGGAUGGUGGAAUUCCCGGUGUAGCGGUGAAAUGCGUAGAGGUCGGGAGGAACAUCAGUGGCGAAGGCGGCCAUCUGGGACAACACUGACGCUGAGGCACGAAAGCGUGGGGAGCAAACAGGAUUAGAUACCCGCGUAGUCCCUGUCUCUUAUAC
This 301-nucleotide ribosomal RNA is filed under the name uncultured bacterium. RNAcentral describes it as "partial 16S ribosomal RNA". It matches the Rfam family "Bacterial small subunit ribosomal RNA", at positions 509 to 807 of the family's 1533-position model. The record is from RNAcentral.